UGAUGAUGAUGAGGAGGAGGAAGAAGAUGAUGAGGAAGAUGAAGAGGAAGAAACCCAGCAACCUUCUAAAAGGAAGAAAUGAGAAAAACAUUGUUUUCACUUUUUUUCUUUAGAUUGGAGGAAUCUUAUUUUAUUAAAUGUUGACAAAGUAAAAAAUUCAAACCAUUAGUUUUCACAGAGCUCAAAACUAUUUCUUUUGAAUACUAAACCCUCUUCCUUGCUUGGUGUUUUGAUUGGUCUUCCCCAAA
RNAcentral lists this unclassified non-coding RNA (248 nucleotides) under Hevea brasiliensis (rubber tree). Lineage: Eukaryota; Viridiplantae; Streptophyta; Magnoliopsida; Malpighiales; Euphorbiaceae. The record is from RNAcentral.